CCCGCUAAGAUGCUCGGUCCUUCCGAGCAAGCUAAGGCCGUGUUGGGGGGAGGCCAUCACUUCAUCAGGCGACUAGCACCGCGCCGGCACGUCCGCUCAGCACUCGCCAGCACCAUGGCCUCGGUUUCUUAGCUCGCCUGCAUCUACUCGGCCCUCAUCUUGCACGACGAUGAGGUGACGGUCACAGAGGGUAAGAUCAAUGCCCUCCUUAAAGCAGCGGGUGUGAAUGCUGAACCCUUCUGGCCCGGCUUGUUUGCAAAGGGCCUGCCUCACUGGCAACAGUGGGAG
Mustela erminea (ermine) is the source of this 288-nucleotide long non-coding RNA. RefSeq lists it as uncharacterized. Lineage: Eukaryota; Metazoa; Chordata; Mammalia; Carnivora; Mustelidae. The transcript has 4 exons. The record is from RefSeq and is a predicted model, not a curated record.